GAUGAACGCUGGCGGCGUGCCUAAUACAUGCAAGUCGAGCGAACAGACGAGGAGCUUGCUCCUCUGACGUUAGCGGCGGACGGGUGAGUAACACGUGGAUAACCUACCUAUAAGACUGGGAUAACUUCGGGAAACCGGAGCUAAUACCGGAUAAUAUAUUGAACCGCAUGGUUCAAUAGUGAAAGACGGUUUUGCUGUCACUUAUAGAUGGAUCCGCGCCGCAUUAGCUAGUUGGUAAGGUAACGGCUUACCAAGGCAACGAUGCGUAGCCGACCUGAGAGGGUGAUCGGCCACACUGGAACUGAGACACGGUCCAGACUCCUACGGGAGGCAGCAGUAGGGAAUCUUCCGCAAUGGGCGAAAGCUUGACGGAGCAACGCCGCGUGAGUGAUGAAGGUCUUCGGCUCGUAAAACUCUGUUAUUAGGGAAGAACAAAUGUGUAAGUAACUAUGCACGUCUUGACGGUACCUAAUCAGAAAGCCACGGCUAACUACGUG
Molecule: ribosomal RNA, 497 nt
Filed under: uncultured bacterium
Lineage: Bacteria
Description: partial 16S ribosomal RNA
Rfam family: Bacterial small subunit ribosomal RNA
Source: RNAcentral